Ipomoea nil (Japanese morning glory) is the source of this 407-nucleotide long non-coding RNA. RefSeq lists it as uncharacterized. The record is from RefSeq and is a predicted model, not a curated record. The transcript has 3 exons. Lineage: Eukaryota; Viridiplantae; Streptophyta; Magnoliopsida; Solanales; Convolvulaceae.
AAGAAAAAAAGGUAUAACUACAGAGUGAAGAAAAUCCAUACUAUCAUCCCAAAAGGUGCCAUUGCAAUUAUUAAAUGUUGGAGUUAUUCAGCUAAAUGACAUCACAGAUUCACAGGAAUGGGCAGCUCCAGAAUUCUGUGAAGGGAGAUCCAGUAGAAUAGGGAAUUUGUUAUGAUGUUUUGCUGUUUUGCUUGUCUUAAUUUAAAAGACCUGGUUGUAAUAAUCAGACUUAUUGUUUAGCUGUGGAUUUGAAUAGAAUAUCUCUCCUUUCUUCUAUUAUUUCUCCCAUUUCUUCUAAGAUUUCUUCCCCGAUUUAUGAGCUUACCAGUGUGUUGGGUUCUUAAUUUAAGCUCAAGUUACAGCCUCUUACACAGAGCUUUCUCUCUAUUUCAUCAUGAUAUUUCUCC